Molecule: long non-coding RNA, 2051 nt
Organism: Pimephales promelas (fathead minnow)
Lineage: Eukaryota; Metazoa; Chordata; Actinopteri; Cypriniformes; Leuciscidae
Source: RefSeq, a predicted model, not a curated record
UGUACUCUUCGUAGUCUGUUUUCUCUCUCUCUCUCCCACAGUCUCCUUCCCUCUCCCACUCAAACACAUAUAAAACUCACGGAGACAAGAUAUUCAUUUUUUUUUUAUAUCUAAACAUGUAUUUAUUUUUGUCAUUUGCUCAUUCACUCUUUCGUAUUCCUCAUUCCUCAACUUUUGUCGACUCUACGGCGAUGUGCAACAUAAACAGUUUGGAGAGGGGGUUUGUGUUCUGGUCAAUUUAAAAUGCAUCUCCCCAAAUAAAGGAAUCUCUUUGUUAUUAUAAAGAAUACAUCUUCCAUUAAAUGCUCAAAUGAAGGCUGAAUAAGCGGCUUUAAACACACACUGACUGAUGUGGGCUGAAGUGCACCAUUGUGGGCAAUACAACUGACCCGGUGACAAGGUGUAUGAAGUUUGUCUGAGGAGCAUCUGUCAUCGAUCAGAAGCGAUUAAUGCAAGGAACAGUGUCUUAUCAGCUGUCACGAGCACAACACAAUCCUCGCUUCCCGCGAAAGAGCCGCGCGCAUUUACAGGCAUGAAAUUACAUCAAAUCCCCAAAGCGCUCGGCAAACGAAGGGUGCGCGCCGCGCGGUGCGGGAUCUGAUGUGGACUUAAACACAAACGAAAGGAGGAUUCGUGAAGCAAAUGUAACAGAUAUGCCGUGCAACAGACGCCUUUAUUGUCGCUAUUGAAAGCAACAUGCCGCUGUGGUUCAGAAGUCAAACGGAGGUCAUCCUUUAUUUCCCCCCGCAGCGAUCAGCGACCAGCGACCAGGGGCCAGGGGCCAGUCAGCAGUGAACCCUGCCUUCUCCAGCAGCACUGACAACUGCAUGGGACUUACAAGACUAGCGGGAAUGGGAGAAAAAACAGCAGGCAGGCUACUAACUUUCUUUUUUAGAUCUUUCCACUGCUUGCUUAUUAUGCUCUUACAGAGUGUUUCAAAGGCUUGUCAAAUGGGAAAUGUUUGAAUAUGCAAAUAAUCAUUUAACCACUCUAUGCGUUUCCUUGUCCGAGCGCGCAACGGAGACAAUUACUUGCAAAUAAAAUAAGUGAAUCGUUGUUUAGGCUACUAAUCGUGGGGGAAAUGAAACCCAUGGUCCAAGAUUAUAACGACGGAAGUGUGAAACUAAAAAAAACUUUGUGCACUUUUGAAGGUUCAUAUGUUUUCCAGGCUAACUAAUGAAUCAAACACGUCCAGGAAUUUUAGGAACAAUUAGUCGGAAACAAUGUCUAAAAUAAUGUUUAUACUACAGGUGCAGUGAGAAAAAAAAAUAGAUUAAGGCUAUUUACUUUCGUUUUAUUAGUUGGAAACAUUAAAAAGAAGCGCUAAGCAUUUAUUUCAUGUUAAUGUAUAGGCCUAAUUAAAUUUGAAAUCAGUGUUUUUAUUUAAAUGUCGCUUUGUGAUUUUAUUUGAGCCAACUUUGUUUUUUUUUCUAUUUUGCUUAAUCUUAUUUUAUUUUCAAAACCUUCUUAAUUGAGAAACGUAUUGCAGGCCAAUUGGAUUUGCAAUAAUGUAAACUAGUACAGAAAAGAAAAACACAUUUUUUCAUAUGCAAAGGCUCGCAGUGACCUGUAUGCUUGAUCAUGUGCGCCUUCUACUGGAAACAUACUGCAUUUUCUUUCUUUGUUUCUUAAUGAGAGACGCAAAGACUUUUCUGAUAUGCACAAGCACAAACACAGGAGUUUUGCCGCGCUCUAAUCUUAAAGAAUAGUUAAAAUGAGGAUAAUCAAUUAUGACGACUAAGGAGACAUGCGUGAAUAUUUAAAAGUAGACUACUUGACAAAGUUUGAUGGCGCGUCAUUGAUCCGUCAAAGCUUGAAAUUUGGCAACUUACUCUUAAUUCAGCUUAAUCUUUAUUAUUUUAAGUUUAUUCUUCUAAAAUCUGCAUCGUUUAUCGCAUGGUGUGAUACUGGUGUAACCAUUUGGGUAUUUGUGUUAAAAACAAAUCAUCAGAAAACGUCCCACUUCGCCUGUGUUCACAUUAAUUAGCAAAACAAUAAUUAAAAUAAAUUGCGCGUUGACUUCCAGAGGUUUUCGGCUGCAAAAAAAAAAA